RNAcentral lists this ribosomal RNA (464 nucleotides) under uncultured bacterium. RNAcentral's name for it is "partial 16S ribosomal RNA". It matches the Rfam family "Bacterial small subunit ribosomal RNA", at positions 28 to 507 of the family's 1533-position model. The record is from RNAcentral.
GACGAACGCUGGCGGCGUGCUUAACACAUGCAAGUCGAACGGAAAGGCCCCUUUGGGGGUACUCGAGUGGCGAACGGGUGAGUAACACGUGAGUAACCUGCCCUUGACUUCGGGAUAACUUCAGGAAACUGGGGCUAAUACCGGAUAGGAAUCCUUGCUGCAUGGUGGGGGUUGGAAAGCUUCGGCGGUUUUGGAUGGACUCGCGGCUUAUCAGCUUGUUGGUGGGGUAGUGGCUUACCAAGGCUUUGACGGGUAGCCGGCCUGAGAGGGCGACCGGCCACAUUGGGACUGAGAUACGGCCCAGACUCCUACGGGAGGCAGCAGUGGGGAAUAUUGCACAAUGGGCGGAAGCCUGAUGCAGCAACGCCGCGUGCGGGAUGACGGCCUUCGGGUUGUAAACCGCUUUCGCCUGUGACGAAGCGUGAGUGACGGUAAUGGGUAAAGAAGCACCGGCUAACUACGUG